AACGAACGCUGGCGGCAUGCCUAACACAUGCAAGUCGAACGAGAUCUUCGGGUCUAGUGGCGCACGGGUGCGUAACGCGUGGGAAUCUGCCCUUUGGUUCGGAAUAACAGUUGGAAACGACUGCUAAUACCGGAUGAUGACGAAAGUCCAAAGAUUUAUCGCCAGAGGAUGAGCCCGCGUAGGAUUAGCUAGUUGGUGUGGAAAAGGCGCACCAAGGCGACGAUCCUUAGCUGGUCUGAAGGGAUGAUCAGCCACACUGGGACUGAGACACGGCCCAGACUCCUCCGGGGGGCAGCAGUGGGGGAUAUUGGACAAUGGGCGAAAGCCUGAUCCAGCAAUGCCGCGUGAGUGAUGAAGGCCUUAGGGUUGUAAAGCUCUUUUACCCGGGAUGAUAAUGACAGUACCGGGAGAAUAAGCUCCGGCUAACUCCGUGCCAGCCGCCGCCGUAA
This 449-nucleotide ribosomal RNA is filed under the name uncultured bacterium. RNAcentral's name for it is "partial 16S ribosomal RNA". It matches the Rfam family "Bacterial small subunit ribosomal RNA", at positions 29 to 523 of the family's 1533-position model. The record is from RNAcentral.